This 1446-nucleotide ribosomal RNA is filed under the name uncultured Porphyromonadaceae bacterium. RNAcentral's name for it is "bacterial SSU rRNA". It matches the Rfam family "Bacterial small subunit ribosomal RNA". Lineage: Bacteria; Pseudomonadati; Bacteroidota; Bacteroidia; Bacteroidales; Porphyromonadaceae. The record is from RNAcentral.
GAUGAACGCUAGCGACAGGCUUAACACAUGCAAGCCGCGGGGCAGCAUAAGUAGCAAUACUUAAUGGCGACCGGCGUACGGGUGAGUAACGCGUGUGCAACCUACCCUUCACAGGGGGAUAAUCCAUGGAAACGUGGUCUAAAACCCCAUGAUAUUAUUUAUUCGCAUGGAUAAGUAAUUAAAACUCCGGUGGUGAAGGAUGGGCACGCGUGACAUUAGGUAGUUGGUGGGGUAACGGCCUACCAAGCCAUCGAUGUCUAGGGGUUCUGAGAGGAAGGUCCCCCACACUGGAACUGAGACACGGUCCAGACUCCUACGGGAGGCAGCAGUGAGGAAUAUUGGUCAAUGGGUGGAAGCCUGAACCAGCCAAGUCGCGUGAAGGACGACGGGUCUAUGGCCUGUAAACUUCUUUUAUCGGGGAAGAAUAAGUGGUAUGUAUACCAUGAUGCCAGUACCCGAAGAAUAAGCAUCGGCUAACUCCGUGCCAGCAGCCGCGGUAAUACGGGGGAUGCGAGCGUUAUCCGGAUUUAUUGGGUUUAAAGGGUGCGUAGGCUGUAAAUCAAGUCAGUGGUGAAAGCCGUCAGCUCAACUGUCGCGAGCCAUUGAAACUGGUUAACUAGAGUAUAGACGAGGUAGGCGGAACAAGUAAAGUAGCGGUGAAAUGCAUAGAUAUUACUUAGAACUCCGAUAGCGAAGGCAGCUUACCAGACUAUAACUGACGCUGAUGCACGAGAGYGUGGGUAGCGAACAGGAUUAGAUACCCUGRUAGUCCACGCACGUAAACGAUGCUCACUGGUUYUGGGCGAUAGWCCGUCCGGGACCGAGCGAAAGUAAAAGUGAGCCACMUGGGGAGUACGUCGGCAACGAUGAAACUCAAAGGAAUUGACGGGGGCCCGCACAAGCGGAGGAACAUGUGGUUUAAUUCGAUGAUACGCGAGGAACCUUACCCGGGUUUAAAUGUAGGUUGCAUUGAGUGGAAACACUCAUUSUCUUCGGAGAUACWUACAAGGURCUGCAUGGUUGUMGUCAGCUCGUGCCGUGAGGUGUYGGGUUAAGUCCCAUAACGAGCGCAACCCUUACCGUUAGUUGCCASCGGGUUAAGCUGGGCACUUUAGCGGGACUGCCACCGUAAGGUGAGAGGAAGGUGGGGAUGACGUCAAAUCAGCACGGCCCUUACAUCCGGGGCGACACAMGUGUUACAAUGGCCGGUACAGGGGGCAGCUACCUGGUGACAGGAUGCGAAUCUCCAAAGCCGGUCUCAGUUMGGAUMGAAGUUUGCAACCMGAYUUCGWGAAKUUGGAUUCGYUAGUAAUCGCGCAUCAGCCAUGGCGCGGUGAAUACGUUCCCGGGCCUUGUACACACCGCCCGUCAAGCCAUGGAAGCCGGGAGUACCUGAAGUUCGUCACCGUGAGGAUCGACCUAGGGUAAUACCUGGUGACUGGGGCU